AGAAAUAUAAAGCAUUUAAUAAAUACAAGCUAAAGAAAACCUCCACCCCCGUGACGUCCAGAAGCACCAACAGCUUGCUUAAAACUAAAGGCAAAUAUUAAGCCAACGCGGAUUGUUGGAAUACCAUUCCAGAAACCUGCGUGGAUGGCAACUACGCAGUCUUUUAUGCACGCAGCCGACGCGCGUACCCGAAUGAAAACGAAACGGUUUGCCGCAAUCCUUGCGGAUGAAACUGCGGCCGGUAUCGACGGCCAAGCUCCAAAAGUUGGCCGAAUUAACCGAUGUGCGGCCAAAUAAGUCUGAAUUAACGAGAGUUUGAUUGCACUGAAUAAUGCAUACGCCGGCCGGGACCAGAGAACUAGUCUGAAUUAUCCGAUUUUCCGAAUUAACGAGGUUCCUAGAAAACCUGCUCGACUUAUCAGGGACUACAUUCUCGGCUGAUCGGUUCUAGGGACACUUUCACAUUUGCGCAAUGUGGCAUCUGGUGCGGUGCGCUUCACUGGAGAAAUGGCCGUUCUGCCCGCUGGUUCAGCCAAUUAGUGUCCACUGAAAGCAAUUUAUCCAAAACUGGUAGACGAAGAAUACGGCUUCUGAAGCUCACUGCAUCAGUAGGAACUAAACGAGUCUCCAAACUGUUCGUUUUAUUGGAGGCUUUGUCUUAAUAUAGAGGUCACCUUAAACGGGAUACAGUAGUGGGUAAGAAAGCGAGGCUAAACGAUGAGCUAACUGCUGGACAAAAAUGAAGGUAAUGACUGCGGCCAAGUAAGUACCAAGUUCCCAACGAGCACUCGACAAGCUGGAACUGAGAAAUGGGUCACAUCAAGAGGAUGCAGCAGUGACAUGUUUAUGCCACACUGCAGCCAAUCCACAGGCAAGUCCCACUCUUGAGUGUUGGAAGGGCAGUCAACUCCUACCCUACUGUGUUAUGGUGUGGAUUUCUUUUAAGGAGAUAAGACAAAUUCUCUGAUAAGAUGAAUACCUUAGCCACCUUUGUGUAGGUCCUGCUGAUUCACUGAACUAUUCUUUAAAAGAUGAAAUAUAGUGUUUUAAGACAGGCCAUGCCAUUUACUGUAUAGCCAGAAAGUUACGUCUACGUUUCAAUUUUGCUGUUUUGGUUUACAGUGCUUUGGGGAAUCAGAAUAAACAUGGUCACCAAUGCAACUGCAAAACGAAUGGCACCAAUCAUACUUUUCAGCUACUUCCGCUACGUGUUUGUUAACGAGGGCUGCAGCGAUGACUGCUGAUUGCACCAGCCCACCUUAUAGGUAAUCAGCACCAGCUCACGCACCUUCUUGACAAUGUCUCAAACCUCAGAUCGUCUUCAAGUGAAAGCAGUGCUUUUGCAGUGGGAAUUAAAAGCACGAAAAUUUGACAGCAUUUGCUACAGUCAAAACUUAUUUCAUAGACACUGCUUUUGCAAAUCUGAUCAGGAGCCUUGUUAUGAACAAUUACGCACGAGCAAGCACUGUGUGCCUCGCUGAAUACCAGUUAUAAUAGAUUGCAUGACAACCCUCACAAUCAGAAGAGGCGGCAAUGAAAUCAGCUGGCAGCUGAAUGGCCAACUUCCAUAAAAUUUUGAACCGGGUGAAAAAGCCUAGUUUCAGGCAGUGUAGAUACAGAUCCCGAAAAGGUCAUGAGGAUACACAGUUUCCAAUACCAAAACUUUAUGCCGCGAUUACGGCACACCAGAAAUCAUGCAGUAACUGGACAGCAUGGGCAUGGCCUCUGAGAUUGGGUGGCAUCCGUGGCAUGCUGAACAUCUUAGAGGCCAUGUUCUGUGACCUGCGUCACGUCCACAAACCACCAGGUGUCUGCAUCGUCUCUAUUUCAAGGCUGUUACUAAGAUUAGAGACAACAGCUAGCCCUGCAAAGCUUUGGUAAGAUCGCUUCAACAGCACAUGCAACACAUUCAUAACCAAAGUACCAUGUUUACUCGAUUCUAACGCGCCCUCGAUUGUAACACACACCCGCUUUCCGUGGGCAAAAAAAAAAAAUCCUUUACAGUACCACGCACCUCAUGCUUUCAAACAGAAAUAUACAACUUUCUCUCAUUUGGAAAACCAGAUUUACUCCCGAUGCACUGAAGUUGCGAUGAAUAAAAAAAAGUUGCAGUUUCGCCAGAAAGGCAAAGCAUCGAAUGUGAUAGCAAAUUAGUAGACCGCUAUACGAAGUAAGGAUAGCAGUUUUAUUGGCCGUACAAACUUGCAAACAUUUGCUUACUAAAUAAAUUAACAAGCACGGUGUCACGCACGCAAGCACACAUGAACACAUCUCGCUCGUUGACCGUGGAAACGAGCUUGCUCUACGCUGGAGUGACGAUGCGCGGCAAGCGAAUUGACCUUCGUGCUCGCAUGCCUCUUCGAUUCCACAUGACCUAUAAGCGGCGAAAACACAGCGCGCGGCGGACUUUCCCCGUCGCAGAUCACCUUCAAGAUAGGGCCAAGGCGAUCGUAUUGCCGAAGUGUAUCAUCGCAAAAUACGUCCUGCUUCGGUCCACUGAAACUCUUCCGCGUUGCUUUGGUGGCGAAAAUCAUCUUCUGUCUGCGCCAGUCGCGCACGCAAGUUUCGGAUUCUCCGAACGCCCGUGAAGUGGCCCGAUUUCCGUCCGUCUCCGCACACAUGAUCACUUUCCUUUUAAAUGCGGCACCAUGAUGAACUCGGCACUUCAUGCCGAUAGAGCAGACGCAGAAAACGGGAACGACGGUAGACUAAUGCCUACGCACGUGUAAUGCAGCACAUGGAGCAAGCUACGACAGCUAGGCUAGAGUGUGGUGAGGCUCGACGUGCGUGCGAAGCGGUCGUAUUCAAAAUGCUGACGGCUAUAUAGUAACGCAGAUUUAGGGUCGUACUCGAUUCUAAGGCGCACAAAUUUUUUGUACCUAUUUUAGCGGGAAAAAAGCGCACGUUAGAUUCGAGUAAAUACAGUAUACAGUCGAACCCCGCUACAACGAAUGCCGCUUCAAUGAAAUAUUUCAAAUUCCCCAUCAGCUAGCCACAGAAGUCAAUGCAAAAAAAGUUCUCGCUCCAACGAACAAUUUUUCAGGCUUGCUUUCGCUUCAACGAAAUUUUCACUCAGUACAGCUGGGCUUUAAGAUUUGUUUUCUGAUAAAAUAAACAUAACCCCAAUCGUCUGCAAUUUUUCGGACACCCACGCUGCUUAGGUUAACCGAAAACAGGUGCCCACUGCACCGUCGCUGAUAAACAAACUCAUGGACGGGCGCCAUUAUUUGGUGGUGAUGACGAUGUGGCUAGCCGCCUUGCGACAAGGCACAGGCCCACUUUGCCAAGCAAGAACCACAGCCAAUCCGUAUCCAUCCUAGGUCACGUGAUCGCUGGCGCAAUGCGGCGACGCAGAUUUUCAUUUAGGCUUGCGUGCUCGGCCAGCAUGGCGGCAAAACGGAAGUUUCUUCCUUUGGAAGUGAAGGCGCGAAUUACCAGCGAGGCUUCAAGCAGCAGAAAGAAAGGAGACGUCGCAGCAGAGUUCGGCAUCUCCAACAGCACGCUGUCGACAAUUUUGAAGUCGAAGGACGCGGUCACUAGUGCUCUUUCUGCGGGGGCGUCCGCCUAACGGAAGAAGUUGACUCAAGCUGCACACGAGGAUCUUGAGAAGGCGUUUACAUGGUUCCUCGACAUGCGUGCCAAGAAAAUGCCAAUUAGCGGAAGCGUGUUACAGCAAAAGGCACUGAACUAUGCUUGCAUGCUCGGCAUCGACGAUUUAAGGCAAGCACAGGUUGGCUGACCCGCUUCAAGGCCCGACACGACAUCGUUGCGGAAGUGUUAUGCAGCGAAUCUGCUGCUUUAGAUGCAAUGGUGCAGCGACUUGGGCGUCAUCUGCUGUGCCGGACAUAAUGAAAGAGUACACCCCGUCCGACAUCUACAACGCAGAUGAGUCGGGACUCUUUUAUGAGCUGUUGCCCACGAAGACGCUGGAUAUGAAGGGCCAACCAUGCAGCAGAGGGAAGCACAGCAAGAAGCGUGUGACUCAGCUUCUCUGCGCUAAUAUGGAUGACACCGACAAGCGCUGCCCUCUCGUUAUCGGCAAGAGCGCGAGGCCUCGCUGCUUCAAAGGCGGUAAGAGCUUGCCAGUAAGUUAUUUAGCAAACAAGAAAUCCUGGAUGACGCAGGCCAUCUUCCGCGAUUGGAUUAUAGCUUUCGACCGCAAUAUGAAGGCCCAAAACCGCAAGGUGUGCUUGCUUAUUGGCUCAGCGCAUAAUGUUGAGGACGCCGAGUUGGAAAAUGUGGAAGUUCACUUCUUCCCCCCAAACUGCACUGCUUUCAUUCAGCCGUUAGACCAAGGCAUCAUUCACAGUGUGAAAAGUGCAUAUCGGCAGCGUUUGAUUCAGCGACUGUUGCUGAAUGUUGACACCGGGCGGGAGACCAAAG
Molecule: long non-coding RNA, 4383 nt
Organism: Dermacentor silvarum
Lineage: Eukaryota; Metazoa; Arthropoda; Arachnida; Ixodida; Ixodidae
Exons: 2
Source: RefSeq, a predicted model, not a curated record